This 266-nucleotide signal recognition particle RNA is filed under the name Syntrophomonadaceae bacterium. Its description in RNAcentral is "signal recognition particle sRNA large type". It matches the Rfam family "Bacterial large signal recognition particle RNA". From Rfam's summary of the family: The signal recognition particle (SRP) is a universally conserved ribonucleoprotein involved in the co-translational targeting of proteins to membranes. Archaeal SRP consists of a 7S RNA and homologues of the eukaryotic SRP19 and SRP54 proteins. In most bacteria, the SRP consists of a 4.5S RNA and the Ffh protein (a homologue of the eukaryotic SRP54 protein). Lineage: Bacteria; Bacillati; Bacillota; Clostridia; Eubacteriales; Syntrophomonadaceae. The record is from RNAcentral.
CCGUGCUAGACGGGGAAUUAGCGGUGCCCUGUAACCUGCAACCCGCUACAGCAGGGUUGAAUUCCUGGCAUGAGGGUCUAUCUUGUAAGGUCUGGCUUGAAUAAGUGGCUGAGAAGUCUGGGUCCUGUGCAACGGGACAUUCUGAACCGUGUCAGGUCCGGGAGGAAGCAGCACUAAGGGGUCUAUCCCGUGUGACGCAGGGUGGCCUGGAUGGAGUUAACUGUUCAAGUAUCGCUUGGAAGGUAUUUUCGAAGCCAGGUGCACGG